RNAcentral lists this ribosomal RNA (245 nucleotides) under uncultured bacterium. Its description in RNAcentral is "partial 16S ribosomal RNA". It matches the Rfam family "Bacterial small subunit ribosomal RNA", at positions 524 to 768 of the family's 1533-position model. The record is from RNAcentral.
AACGAGGGGUGCUAGCGUUGCUCGGAAUCACUGGGCGUAAAGCGAGUGUAGGUGGUUUUACAAGUCGAAUGUGAAAACCUAUGGCUUAACCAUAGAAGUGCAUUCGAAACUGUAUUACUGGAGCACGGUAGAGGGCGGGGGAAUUCCCGGUGGAGCGGUGAAAUGCGUUGAUAUCGGGAGGAAUACCGGUGGCGUAGGCGCCCGCCUGGGCCGUUGCUGACACUCAGACUCGAAAGCGUGGGGAG